AUGCUCGUUUCGGCAGCACAUACACUAAAAUUGGAAUGAUACAGAGAAGAUUACAUGGCCUCUUCACAAGGAUGGCAGGCAAAUUCAUGAAGCGUUCCAUAUUUUU
This is a small nuclear RNA of Cricetulus griseus (Chinese hamster), 106 nucleotides long. The record is from Ensembl. NCBI's taxonomy places the organism in Eukaryota, Metazoa, Chordata, Mammalia, Rodentia, Cricetidae.